Molecule: non-coding RNA, 183 nt
Organism: Brevibacillus choshinensis
Lineage: Bacteria; Bacillati; Bacillota; Bacilli; Caryophanales; Paenibacillaceae
Source: Rfam
GAAGCCCUGCGAUGCACGUGAAAUCCGAUAGUUUUGAGCCACAAAGUUUUUUUAGGGAGUUUUUCGUCCGCAACUGUAAAGGCAUGCCUCCGUUUGAGUGGACGUCUGUAAUGGUUGGGCAAGACACCCACCUGCGAUGAGCAGGUUCAAAACUAAGGAGCUACACGGCAUAAUGGGGCUCCU